AGAAAAGUCGAGUUCUAGCCCUAUUAUUAAAAAAACUCAUAAAUAUCAAACACGUUGACAAAGGACUCUGGGUAAUGUAGUUCUUUAACUUUUUUUUGUGGUGACAUGAAUUUAUAUUUGGACUAGGUUUUCCACAGUGCAUUUCGGCGCUUAGGCGUCCCUCAGGUAACCGUGGCAACUCCGUAAGAAUCACGAAAUGUAAAAGGAAUAUAUUGAAACGGAAUAAAUAUCAAAGCAAUUCCAAAUAUUUUGGCGUAAUAGCCACGGGAAAGAUUUGCGAACGGUAAUAAUGUUUGCUCUGCCAUGCGAGUUGUUCAAGUCGCUUUAUGAUGACAUCACAGCUCUUCCGCCUUGAAAUUUCACGACAAAACGGUGAAAGUGGGCGAUAAUUCUAAGACGGCAGUAUUUUUUUCAGUAAGUCAUCAUAUUUCUCCUCACGUAAAUAUUCGAGGAGGUAAUAAUUACAUUCCGUGACGAAAGAAGUGUGCAAAGAACCCCGGGCUACUAGCUAAGUUCCUAAUUCACGUGCUUCGCGAAACUUUGUUUAUUAGCCGCAUGGCUGUUGGCUGGAUGAAGCUCGAGUUGUCUCGAGUUCUCCAAGGAGGUAGCCGCCUGGGUAUCCUCAAGGGGCUCGGCAGGACCGGACAGCAUUCCCUGGAGGUACCGGGCUGUCUGCUGUACAGUCGCUGUGGAACAGUGCCACACCUGACCCAAGAUACGUUGCACAACCUGGACAAGCUUCCCUCUGUCACUCAGGUCUCACUGGACCAUUUAGCAGAGCACCAGGAAGUGUUGGAGGAAUUCAAGGAAGGAUUUAAGAAGUUUUCAGGUCUUCAUGACACAGUUUUGUUUUGCACACUGAAUGACCCUGCGACCCCAAGCCCCACUGGCUACACAACCAACAAGACGGUGUCCGUAUGGGGAAGCGGCGGGCGCAUCGAGCUGACGGCAGCCAAAUUCAUGGCCAUGCAGAAGCUGCUUCAGCCCGACUGCUACGUGAGCAUGGCCGACGGCGAAACCUGGCAGGACAACACCUCCCGCAAGAGGGUCCGCAAAUCGGUGGAGCGGACCCUUGCCCACUUGGAUGAGUGUCUGCUGGUGCACCAGGCGUCGCAGGAGCUGGAGGGAGCGGCGCUCUUCGGGGUGGUGGAGGGCGGGGACGUCCCGGAGGAAAGGUCGCGUUCGGCCAGGGAGACGGCCAAGCGGCCCGUGGCGGGCUUCUGCCUAGACGGACUCCAGUCUGGUCACCUGAACGGCGCCCUGAGGAGCCAGCUCAUAGCUGCGGUCAUCAAGGAGCUCCCUGAGGACAAACCCAGGCUUCUGCAAGGUGUGGGUCGACCCGACGAGGUGCUGGCAUGCGUGGAGGCCGGCGUGGACCUGUUUGAGGGCUUCUUCCCCUUCCUGGUCACUGAGCGAGGCUGUGCCCUCUGCUUCCGCUUCGACACGGCAAUCGACCCGGAGAGCGGCGAUGGGACGCCCCCUUGUGAAAGCACAGCAGAACAGAAUGGAGACCACCAUCCCGAUGACCCGACUCGCAUGACCUCCUUCGAGAUGAAUCUCAAAGACAAAAGGUACCGAGACGACUUCCGGCCCCUGGUGGAUGGGUGUGUCUGCUACUGCUGCAAGAACCACACGAGAGCGUACGUGCACCACCUGCUAGCCACCAAUGAGCUGCUGGCGGGGGUUCUGCUCAUGCUCCACAACACGACGCACUAUCUGGCCUUCUUCGCGGCCCUUCGAGAAGCCCUGGCUGCCGAUAAAGUGGACCUCUUGAAAAGGCGGGUCCUCGGUCAGACGGAAACAAAUACCUAAGGACGGAAUGAAAUCAAAUGGGAGAGAUGGAUUGAGCCUGGAGGAGAGAAUCGUACAAAAUCCAAGAGACAACAGCAUCCACUGAUUCCAAGAAGAAUCGGUAUCGCCGGGAAGCCCUCCGAGUGUGACGUUUUGCAGCGUGACAGCCAUCAAACGCACCAUGAAGCUGCCUGGCUUGUCAACUCUUAUAAACACACCUCAUUCCACCUGCCCCGUAAGCUGAGGAUCUUGAUGAAGGCCCUGCGGAACUCCACGUUGAAGGUGGUGUAUAUGAUGGGGUUGAGGGCGCUGUUGACGUAGCCCAGCCAGGUGAAGGCGCUGUAGAGGCCAGGUGGGACCGUGCAUGUCCUGCAGUGCGUGUUCAAGAUGUGCGUGACAAAGAAGGGAAGCCAGCAAAUGAGGAACACCCCUGAAAAGCAUUUGUCAACUCACUUCAGCAUGACGUGCUCCUGAAGUUCGGUGUUGAGGGUCUCUGGCAGCAGCAGACAGAGGCCCACUGCACAAACGGGUACGAUGCCGUACACGAACAUGGGGAGGGAGUCGUGGUAGUCGGCCAGGAGCCUUAUCAAGGGGGCCAGGAUGCCGCCCACGCGAGCGCACAUCGAGUUCAGACCUACGCCACUCUGCCUAGCAACAUACAGAACGCCAACACCAUUUCAAAGCUAAUUAAAAAAAUCAAGUCCUGCAACCACUUCACUUCUCAGAAGAGAUGAAA
RNA transcript from Hippocampus zosterae (dwarf seahorse), 2527 nucleotides. It is a transcript of the gene named queuine tRNA-ribosyltransferase accessory subunit 2, with no coding region annotated. The transcript is spliced from 11 exons. NCBI's taxonomy places the organism in Eukaryota, Metazoa, Chordata, Actinopteri, Syngnathiformes, Syngnathidae. The record is from RefSeq and is a predicted model, not a curated record.